This 516-nucleotide ribosomal RNA is filed under the name Bacillus sp. PSu3_17. RNAcentral describes it as "bacterial SSU rRNA". It matches the Rfam family "Bacterial small subunit ribosomal RNA", at positions 61 to 559 of the family's 1533-position model. Lineage: Bacteria; Bacillati; Bacillota; Bacilli; Caryophanales; Bacillaceae. The record is from RNAcentral.
GUCGAGCGGACCGACGGGAGCUUGCUCCCUUAGGUCAGCGGCGGACGGGUGAGUAACACGUGGGUAACCUGCCUGUAAGACUGGGAUAACUCCGGGAAACCGGGGCUAAUACCGGAUGCUUGAUUGAACCGCAUGGUUCAAUCAUAAAAGGCGGCUUCGGCUGCCGUUUACAGAUGGACCCGCGGCGCAUUAGCUAGUUGGUGAGGUAACGGCUCACCAAGGCGACGAUGCGUAGCCGACCUGAGAGGGUGAUCGGCCACACUGGGACUGAGACACGGCCCAGACUCCUACGGGAGGCAGCAGUAGGGAAUCUUCCGCAAUGGACGAGAGUCUGACGGAGCAACGCCGCGUGAGUGAUGAAGGUUUUCGGAUCGUAAAGCUCUGUUGUUAGGGAAGAACAAGUACCGUUCGAAUAGGGCGGUACCUUGACGGUACCUAACCAGAAAGCCACGGCUAACUACGUGCCAGCAGCCGCGGUAAUGCGUAGGUGGCAAGCGUUGUCCGGAAUUAUUGGGC